UAAGACGAACCGUCCUAACGUUGUUCGGAUUCACUGGGCUUAAAGGGCGCGUAGGCGGGCAGCUAAGUCCGGGGUGAAAGCCCCCAGCUCAACUGGGGAAGUGCCUUGGAAACUGACUGUCUCGAGGGGGGUAGGGGCCUGUGGAACUUCGGGUGGAGCGGUGAAAUGCGUUGAUAUCCGAAGGAACGCCGGUGGCGAAAGCGACGGGCUGGACCCCUUCUGACGCUGAGGCGCGAAAGCCAGGGGAGCAAACGGGAUUAGAUACCCCGGUAGUCCUGGCCCUAAACGAUGAGGACUAGGUUGCGGACUUUGACAUGGGUUCGCAGCCGAAGCAAAAGUGGUAAGUCCUCCGCCUGGGGAGUAUGGUCGCAAGGCUG
RNAcentral lists this ribosomal RNA (377 nucleotides) under uncultured bacterium. Its description in RNAcentral is "bacterial SSU rRNA". It matches the Rfam family "Bacterial small subunit ribosomal RNA", at positions 521 to 896 of the family's 1533-position model. The record is from RNAcentral.